Molecule: unclassified non-coding RNA, 343 nt
Filed under: soil metagenome
Description: partial contains 5.8S ribosomal RNA, internal transcribed spacer 2, and large subunit ribosomal RNA
Rfam family: 5.8S ribosomal RNA (bases 1-120)
Source: RNAcentral
GAUGAAGAACGUAGCGAAAUGCGAUAAGUAAUGUGAAUUGCAGAAUUCAGUGAAUCAUCGAAUCUUUGAACGCACAUUGCGCCCGCCAGCAUUCUGGCGGGCAUGCCUGUUCGAGCGUCAUUUCAACCCUCGAGCCCCCCCGGGGGCCUCGGUGUUGGGGGACGGCACACCAGCCGCCCCCGAAAUGCAGUGGCGACCCCGCCGCAGCCUCCCCUGCCUAGUAGCACACACCUCGCACCGGAGCGCGGAGGCGGUCACGCCGUAAAACGCCCAACUUUCUUAGAGUUGACCUCGGAUCAGGUAGGAAUACCCGCUGAACUUAAGCAUAUCAAUAAGCGGAGGA